GCCAGGCGCGGUGGCUCACGCCUGUAAUCCUGGCACUUUGGGAGGCCGAGGUGGGUGGUUCACUUGAGGCCAGGAGUUCAUUCAGGACUAGCCUGGCCAACAUGGUGAAACCCCAUCUCUA
Molecule: signal recognition particle RNA, 121 nt
Filed under: Homo sapiens (human)
Lineage: Eukaryota; Metazoa; Chordata; Mammalia; Primates; Hominidae
Description: Metazoan signal recognition particle RNA
Rfam family: Metazoan signal recognition particle RNA
About the family: The signal recognition particle (SRP) is a universally conserved ribonucleoprotein. It is involved in the co-translational targeting of proteins to membranes. The eukaryotic SRP consists of a 300-nucleotide 7S RNA and six proteins: SRPs 72, 68, 54, 19, 14, and 9.
Source: Rfam by way of RNAcentral